GGUCAAGUUAAAAAGAGCACUAGGUGAAUGCCUAGGCACCAAGAGGCGAAGAAGGACGCGACAAGCUGCGAAAAGCUACGGAGAGGAGCAAAUAUCCUAUGACCCGUAGAUAUCCGAAUGGGGAAACCCACCUCGUAAGAGGUAUCCUAUAGCCAAUUCAUAACUAUAGGAAGCGAACCAGGUGAACUGAAACAUCUAAGUAACCUGAGGAAAAGAAAGAAAACUCGAUUCCCUAAGUAGCGGCGAGCGAACGGGGAAGAGCCCGAUGUGUAUAAAGAGACAAUAGCCAGCCAAAUAAUCUGGGAAGAUUAACCAAAGAAGGUAAGAGUCCUGUAGACGAAAGCGAAGAUAUCCGACACAAAAGAGUACCACGGAACACGAGAAAUUCAGUGGGAAUAUGGGGGGACCACCCCCUAAGGCUAAAUACUACUUGGUGACCGAUAGCGAACAAGUACCGUGAGGGAAAGGUGAAAAGAACCCCGUGAGGGGAGUGAAAUAGAAUCUGAAACCUAGUGUUUACAAGCAGCGAAAGUGGUUUUGCACCACGAUCGUGUACUUUUUGUAGAACGGGCCAGCGAGUUACGAUUACUAGCGAGGUUAAGCAUUAAAGAUGCGGAGCCGAAGCGAAAGCGAGUCUAAAUAGGGCGGAAGUUAGUGGUUGUAGACCCGAAACCGUGUGAUCUAUCCAUGAGCAGAGUGAAGUUGAAGUAAAAUUCAAUGGAGGCUCGAACCGGGUAACGUUUAAAAGUUAUCGGAUGACUUGUGGAUAGGGGUGAAAAGCCAAACGAACACGGAGAUAGCUGGUUCUCCUCGAAAUAGCUUUAGGGCUAGCCUCUAGUAAGACAUGAAAAGGGGGUAGAGCACUGAUUGGUCAAGGGGCAUGCAUAUGUUACCAAGACCUAUCAAACUCCGAAUACCAUAUCAUGCACUAGGGAGUCAGACUAUGUGGGAUGAGCUUCAUAGUCGAAAGGGAAAGAGCCCAGACCAUCAGCUAAGGUCCCAAAAUUAUAGUUAAGUGGGAAAGGAUGUGGAGUUACUGAGACAACUAGGAUGUUGGCUUAGAAGCAGCCACUCAUUUAAAGAGUGCGUAAUAGCUCACUAGUCAAGUGACUCUGCGCCGAAGAUAACCGGGGCUAAACUAUAUACCGAAGCUAUGGAACGUAUAACGUUGGUAGAGGAGCAAUGUAUGAAGGACGAAGCAGAAGCUGUAAGGCACUGUGGACAUCAUACAAGAGAGAAUGCUGGCAUGAGUAGCGAGAGGUGAGUGAGAAUCUCACCCGUCGAAAACCCAAGGAUUCCUGAGCAAGGCUCGUCCACUCAGGGUAAGUCGGGACCUAAGGCGAGGCUGAAAAGCGUAGUCGAUGGACAACAGGUGGAAAUUCCUGUACCGAUACAAUCAUUAAAGGAAGUGGGGACGCAGAAGGAUAAUAAGAGCGCCCAGUUGGUGAGGCGUGCAAGCGCAAAGGAUGGAAAGUAGGCAAAUCCGCUUUCCGAGAAGUCUGAAGCGUAAUGCGGAUCGAAAACAAGUAGAGAAGCUUAUGACUCCACACUGCCAAGAAAAGCCACUACUAGAGAAGUAUCGCCCGUACCGUAAACCGACACAGGUAGGUGAGGAGAGAAUCCUAAGACGAGCGGAAAAACCUUUGUUAAGGAACUCGGCAAAAUGACCCCGUAACUU
RNAcentral lists this ribosomal RNA (1678 nucleotides) under Paraclostridium sordellii. Its description in RNAcentral is "partial 23S ribosomal RNA". It matches the Rfam family "Bacterial large subunit ribosomal RNA", at positions 1 to 1736 of the family's 2925-position model. The record is from RNAcentral. Lineage: Bacteria; Bacillati; Bacillota; Clostridia; Peptostreptococcales; Peptostreptococcaceae.